AGCAGCGCGCGUACGCGUACCGCUACGCUCGUACAAUCAACGCGCUCCUCGCCCAACGCCGGCUGCUGCGCAAGACGUCACAAACGCACACCCACACGGACGCGCACAAACAGGCGCGCGCAGCGGGAGACUCGUCACAGAGCGAAUGCAAAAGGCUGUACGCACGCACGAACACCAUGCACGAAACGAAGUGGGUAGGCGCGCACACAUACAGACGCACAGACGCAAGUGAAGGAACGAACGCGCGGACAAAGUCGCGGGCCCCCGACUUCUUCGCAGCGGGGCGGAUGAAUUUUUCCUCUCGACAAGUACCGUUACAGCCAACGUCUGCGGAAGCCAUUGGGGGAGGGUUGUGGGAGGGGGCAGGGGGACGUGUGAACUGCCACCUUGUUUGCACCGGGCCCGGUUCAUCCUCUUGUUUCUCUUUUUCUUCUCGCGCUUUCUCGUCCUCGUGCACCGGACUACUUUCUCUAACUGCAAGGCCACCCCGAAAACACGCACUUUCACUCGGCUGAUCGAAUGCCCCCACCGCGAUUGGGGCCCCGGCACGAAGAAACCACCGUACAGGCAGAGACCGCUCGCGAGCUCGACGCCGGACGCCGGCGAGAUAGCCGGCCGCCUUCCCGGCCGCCGUGUUCCGGCCCCAACCUUUCCUCGUCGCUUUGCACGCGUCCGUUAUCGAAAACUGCAGCCGUGGGUCGUUCUCCCACCGGCAGUGGGAACGCCAUCGCGGGAUGCGGGACACGGAGGCUCGCCGGUCACAGCCAGGAGACGACGAGGACGAUGGAUAGCCGCCGAGGCAAGAAGUAGUAGCCGCCGAGAGGCGACCAGACCUACGCACGGUCUUCCGCGUCCAUUCAAGCCUGCACACAACACUGCGACCUCACUAAGAAAACAAGAAAGAACGAGAAUGUCUUGAAGGCAUGGAUAACGGCGGGACCAUCGUGUGCAGACAAAACCAACGGCCGACUCUCCCGCUUCAAAGAACCAGGCAGCAGAUAAGCGAGUUGAAGCUGUCGUCAAACAACGCAGACAGGGGGUCAAGCGUUGGGUCUGCGAGCACAGGGACCGGGCCUAGUGAGGAGGAGGUGCGCCCGGGCUGCGAGCCGGAGCGGAGGAGAGGUGACCCCGAGCCGUGGCGUCGUCGUCGUCUCCCGGCCCGGGCCCACAGCCGCCGGGGCGAGAAAGAUAAUGUCAAGGUUCAGAGCGGCGUCCUGCUGCACGGAGGCAGAGCGCACGCCCGCGCGCUCCCUCGGUACUGCUGCUUCCGGGUUGCUGCUGCUACCGCCGCAGCUACCUGCGCUUGAAC
This 1309-nucleotide long non-coding RNA is filed under the name Dermacentor andersoni. RNAcentral's name for it is "uncharacterized LOC126531267". Lineage: Eukaryota; Metazoa; Arthropoda; Arachnida; Ixodida; Ixodidae. The record is from RNAcentral.